CCUACGGGAGGCAGCAGUGAGGAAUCUUGGACAAUGGGCGCGAGCCUGAAGCAGCCAAGUCGCGUGAGUGAUGACGGCCCUACGGGUUGUACACCUCUUUUGCCGAGGAGCAACGGGCGCCACGUGUGGCGCCACUGAGAGUACCCGGAGAAAAAGCAUCGGCUAACUCCGUGCCAGCAGCCGCGGUAGUACGGAGGAUGCGAGCAUUAUCCGGAUUUAUUGGGUUUAAAGGGAGCGUAGAUGGGUUGUUAAGUCAGUUGUGAAAGUUUGCGGCUCAACCGUAAAAGUGCAAUUGAUACUGGCAGUCUUGAGUACAGAUGAGGUAGGCGGAAUUCGUGGUGUAGCGGUGAAAUGCUUAGAUAUCACGAAGAACUCCGAUUGCGAAGGCAGCUUACUAAACUGCCACUGACAUUGAUGCUCGAAAGUGUGGGUAUCAAACAGGAUUAGAUACCCUGGUAGUC
This 461-nucleotide ribosomal RNA is filed under the name uncultured bacterium. Its description in RNAcentral is "partial 16S ribosomal RNA". It matches the Rfam family "Bacterial small subunit ribosomal RNA", at positions 338 to 795 of the family's 1533-position model. The record is from RNAcentral.